AAGACUAUAGACCUGCGGAGUACCUGCGGAAGGAUCAUUACAGAGUUUACAACUCCCAAACCCACUGUGAACCUUACAGCGUCGUUGCCUCGGCGGACCGCCCCCGGCGCGGCCCCCCUCGGGGGGGCGCCCGGGACCACGGCGCCCGCCGGAGGACCCAAACUCUUGUAUUUGCAGGAUGCAUUGCUCUGAGUGAAAACAAGCAAAUGAAUCAAAACUUUCAACAAUGGAUCUCUAGAU
RNAcentral lists this unclassified non-coding RNA (240 nucleotides) under soil metagenome. Its description in RNAcentral is "partial contains 5.8S ribosomal RNA, internal transcribed spacer 2, and large subunit ribosomal RNA". The record is from RNAcentral.